CACUGAGCCCUCUGACCUGUAGGGGGCGCACUGAGCCCUCUGACCUGUAGGGGGCGCACUGAGCCCUCUGACCUGUAGGGGGCGCACUGAGCCCUCUGACCUGUAGGGGGCGCACUGAGUAUUAAAUACUUGAAUAAAGCUUUGAGCUGCAGCCGCUGAACCCUUUGACUCAUCAGUCUGACUUCCUGUCAGCUGCGACCUCAUUGGUUCAAAAACACAAAGAGGAAAUGAACGAGGAGAACUCCAGAACCAAAGACCCGUAACAAAGACCCUCACUGGUUCUGACCCGUCACCAGACCCCCACUGGUUCUGGAGCUCCCCGCCCCUGAUCCAUCACAGUGAGUCCUGAAGAGGUUCUUAUUGCAUACCUGCAAACUUGUCACCUUUCGGAGACGCGGAGAAAAGUGUGAAGUGUUGCUCUUCGCAAUUAAACAUCUUUGAUGGGGCGUGUCGCGUCUCGGCCAAUCAGCGUUCAGAUGUCCACAGCGUUUGGGGGUUCAGGUUAGCUUGAAUGUUAGCCCGCUACAUCUGCUGCUGUCACGCUGCACGGUGUAGCGAUGCUAACAAAGUACCCGUAUGUUAAACACGAUGUGAUUUAGCAUAUCUUUAGUAUCGAUACUUCAUUAAGAGAGCGAUCAGAGCGCACGCGCUGCUCCGUGUCGAGCUGUCUGCGCACACUGCGCUGCGCAGCUCACAGCGAGAGAAGAGGCGCAGCUUUAGAGACUUCGGCUUAACAAAUAAAAAGAUGCCAGAAGUGAAAUGUUUCAGUCUGUAAAGUUCUGUAACUACAGCUGCUCAUCCUGAUGAACUGUGGAUCAUCUGGUCAGAGACUAACGGCCUCAUAGUGAUCAUCAAUGCUCUGAUGGAACCAUGUAGUUUCAUUCAUAUCUGGCUGUAUUGAUACUCAUAUUACUGUCAUUUGUUAAGUGUUGAAAAAGUUGGUAAAAAGUGAACCAUA
Molecule: long non-coding RNA, 958 nt
Organism: Pseudoliparis swirei
Lineage: Eukaryota; Metazoa; Chordata; Actinopteri; Perciformes; Liparidae
Exons: 2
Source: RefSeq, a predicted model, not a curated record